RNA transcript from Mirounga angustirostris (Northern elephant seal), 1985 nucleotides. It is a transcript of the gene named lactamase beta, with no coding region annotated. Lineage: Eukaryota; Metazoa; Chordata; Mammalia; Carnivora; Phocidae. The record is from RefSeq and is a predicted model, not a curated record. The transcript has 6 exons.
UCCACCGCCCGCCCGGCCUGUGCGAGCUCUGAGGCUGCCGGCUCGCGGCAGACGCCAUGUACCGGCUCCUGUCAGCCGUGAUGACCCGGGCCGCGACCCCCGGGGGCUGGGCCUGGGGCCGCGGAGGGCGCGGGGCCCACCAGCGCGCCGGCCUGCCGCCGCUCGGCCCUGGCUGGGUCGGGGGUCUCGGGCUGGGGCUGGGGCUGGCGCUCGGGGUGAAGCUGGCGGACGGCCUGAGGGGCGCGGGCCCCGCGCAGCCCCCAGCGGCCCCCGACCCCGAGGCGUCGCCCCAGGCCGAACAGCUGCCGCCGCAGGAGCAGCCUCUGGCUCCGUGGUCCGCACAGACCCCGACGCCGCCCCCCUCCCGGCGCUUCGCCAGAGCCAUCGACAGCAGCCGCGACCUGCUGCACCGGAUCAAGGAUGAGGUGGGCGCCCCCGGCGUGGUGGUUGGAGUCUCUGUAGAUGGAAAAGAAGUCUGGUCAGAAGGCUUAGGUUAUGCUGAUGUUGAGAACCGUGUACCAUGCAAGCCAGAGACGGUUAUGAGAAUUGCCAGUAUCAGCAAAAGCCUCACCAUGGUUGCUCUUGCCAAACUGUGGGAAGCUGGAAAACUGGAUCUUGAUAUUCCAGUACAACAUUAUGUUCCUGAAUUCCCAGAAAAAGAAUAUGAAGGUGAAAAGGUUUCUGUCACAACAAGAUUACUGAUUUCCCAUUUAAGUGGAAUUCGUCAUUAUGAAAAAGACAUGAAAAAGGUGAAAGAAGAGAAAGCUUACAAAGCCUUGAAGAUGAUGAGAGGGAUAAUGGAAUCUGACCAAGAAAAAGAGUUCAAAGAAAAAGGAGGCAAAAGUAAUGAAAAGAGUGACUUUGUUAAAGCUAAGAUAGAGCAAGAUACUGAUGCCAAAGGCCGGAACUUAAAACCUGGCAAGAAAAAGAAUGAUUUUGAACAAGGCGAAUUGUAUUUGAAAGAAAAGUUUGAGAAUUCAAUUGAAUCCCUAAGAUUAUUUAAAAAUGACCCUUUGUUUUUUAAACCCGUCAGUUUUUGUAUUCAACUUUUGGCUAUACCCUACUGGCAGCCAUAGUAGAAAGAGCUUCAGGAUAUAAAUAUUUGGACUAUAUGCAGAAAAUAUUCCAUGACUUGGAUAUGCUGACAACUGUGCAGGAAGAAAAUGAGCCAGUGAUUUACAAUAGAGCAAGAUUUUAUGUUUACAAUAAAAAGAGACGUCUUGUCAACACACCAUACGUGGAUAACUCCUAUAAAUGGGCUGGUGGUGGAUUUCUGUCUACAGUGGGUGACCUUCUGAAAUUUGGGAAUGCGAUGCUGUAUGGUUACCAAGUUGGGCUCUUUAAGAACUCACAUGAAAAUCUUUUACCCGGAUAUCUCAAGCCAGAAACAAUGGUUAUGAUUUGGACACCAGUCCCUAACACAGAGAUGUCUUGGGAUAAAGAGGGUAAAUACGCAAUGGCUUGGGGUGUUGUGGAAAAGAAGCAAACGUAUGGUUCUUGUAGAAAGCAGCGGCAUUAUGCCUCACACACCGGAGGUGCGGUGGGUGCCAGCAGCGUGCUGCUGGUCCUUCCCGAAGAACUGGAUGCGGAAGCUAUAAAUAACAAGGUUCCCCCAAGAGGAAUAGUCGUCUCUAUCAUCUGCAAUAUGCAGUCUGUUGGCCUCAAUAGCACUGCUUUAAAGAUUGCUCUGGAAUUUGAUAAAGACAGAUCUGACGUAUCUUAACAUUGCAGGUGCAAAAUGAGCUGUUUUGUUCUUCUUGUUGCUGUCGUUUGAAACAUUAAAGCCCCAAAAUACAUGAGAUUUUUUAAAAAUAGAUUUGUAAUAGGGUGUAAUUGAAUGCAGAGAAUUAUGUACCUCUAAUUGCUUAAUUUUGUAAUUGUCUUUUAUUGUAGGAUUAGUUCUUUAUACUCAGGGAAGUAAUUAUAUUAUUUUUACUUUUUGAAGAAAGUGUUAAUUCUUGAAAUAAAAUAUUCUGAUAAAAAUA